RNAcentral lists this transfer RNA (67 nucleotides) under marine eukaryotic metagenome. It matches the Rfam family "tRNA". Rfam says of the family: Transfer RNA (tRNA) molecules are approximately 80 nucleotides in length. Their secondary structure includes four short double-helical elements and three loops (D, anti-codon, and T loops). The record is from RNAcentral.
CGGUUAGCUCAGCUGGUAGAGCACCUGGCUUACAUCCAGGUGGUCGGGGGUUCGAGUCCCUCACCGC